This 256-nucleotide ribosomal RNA is filed under the name uncultured archaeon. RNAcentral's name for it is "partial 16S ribosomal RNA". It matches the Rfam family "Bacterial small subunit ribosomal RNA", at positions 521 to 776 of the family's 1533-position model. The record is from RNAcentral.
UAAUACAGAGGGUGCGAGCGUUAAUCGGAAUUACUGGGCGUAAAGCGCGCGUAGACGGUUUUGUAAGUCAGAUGUGAAAUCCCCGGGCUCAACCUGGGAACUGCAUUUGAUACUGCUUGGCUAGAGUACGGUAGAGGGAAGCGGAAUUUCCGGUGUAGCGGUGAAAUGCGUAGAUAUCGGAAGGAACACCAGUGGCGAAAGCGGCUUCCUGGACCAGUACUGACGUUCAUGUGCGAAAGCGUGGGGAGCAAACAGG